GAUGAACGCUGGCGGCGUGCUUAAUACAUGCAAGUCGAACGAAGAAUUUGCGACAGUUUUUUUCGGACUGUAGUUGCUUAUGACUGAGUGGCGGAUGGGUGAGUAACGUGUGGGUAACCUGUCUUGUACUGGGGGAUAGCCGCUGGACACGGCUGGUAAUACCGCAUAAGCGCACAAUGUUGCAUGACGUGGUGCGAAAAACUCCGGUGGUAUAGGAUGGACCCGCGUCUGAUUAGAUAGUUGCUGAGAUAACAGCCCACCAUGGCGACGAUCAGUAGCCGACCUGAGAGGGUGACCGGCGACAUUGGGACGGGGACACGGCCGAGACUCCUACGGGAGGCAGCAGUGGGGAAUAUUGCACAAUGGAGGAAACUCUGAUGCAGCGACGCCGCGUGAGUGAAGAAAUAAUGCGUUAUGUAAAGCUCAAGCAGCAGUGAAGAUAGUGACGGUACCUGACUAGGAAGCCCCGGCUAAAUACGUG
Molecule: ribosomal RNA, 481 nt
Filed under: uncultured bacterium
Lineage: Bacteria
Description: partial 16S ribosomal RNA
Rfam family: Bacterial small subunit ribosomal RNA
Source: RNAcentral